GAGAGAGAGAGAGAGAGAGAGAGAGAGAGAGAGAGAGAGAGAGAGAGAGAGAGAGAGAGAGAGAGAGAGAGAGAGAGACUAUAUAUGUGGCUGGGGGGCAUGUGUCUGUGGGGGUUGUAAACAUGCUGUGGGGUGACAUCCUGUGGGUCCUGUGGCUGUGAUGAGGAGAGAGAGAGAGAGAGAGAGAGAGAGAGAGAGAGAGAGAGAGAGAGAGAGAGAGAGAAUGCUCACUACAAAUCCCCAUGUAUCCCAAUGUAACUAUAAACCCCAAUAAAAGAGAUUAUACCACUAAAACUCUCUACCUAAUAAUACCCUGCAAGAGAGUGUUACUGAACCCACUAAUACCUUCACUACUACUACCCAAGAUGCCCCAAUAAACUAUACCUACCACCACAAUGUAUAGAUUCAGGAUAUCACAGUGUAUACCCAAUGUUCUAAGGCUGUCAAUAGAUAUCAAGGCUUCUGUUAGUGGUGGUUCAGGGGCAAUAUAGGACAGGGAGUGUUGGUCUUUGGGUAUGGGCUAAGUAGUAGUUGUGUAAGUUUAGUCACAGCCAGUAUUGUAAGCAUAUCUGUGGUACACUGGGCAUUAUAGGACAGGGAGAAAGCGCCUUUGUAUUGCUUUUUAGUUCAGAGAGUACAUUAGCUUUUAACCAGGUAGCAGCGACGGACCAAAUUUGUGGCUUUACCGUGUAGCAGCGACGGACCAAAUUUGUGGCUUUACCAUGUAGCAGCGACGGACCAAAUUUGUGGCUUUACCGUGUAGCAGCAACGGACCAAAUUUGUGGCUUUACCGUGUAGCAGCGACGGACCAAAUUUGUGGCUUUACCGUGUAGCAGCGACGGACCAAAUUUGUGGCUUUACCAUGUAGCAGCGACAGACCAAAUUUGUGGCUUUACCGUGUAGCAGCGACGGGCCAAAUUUGUGCCAUGAUUUAAACCCCCCAAAAUAGAUGAUACAUAAUCUGAUCACAAAUGCUUUGAUAUAUAUUAUGAAAUGGUUUGUGUGAGGGGUGAUUUUUUCUCGCUUGGGGGAACCAUUAAGAAACAUGAUCCUCGCUGCUACCGGGUUAACAGAGCACUACGAUAGGAGAAUGUGGCCAGCAUGUCGUAACCAAAAUAGCUGUACGUAAUUCAAAAUGACGGUGUUACGAUAGCGUUUGUGGUCUGGGGAAUUUUUCGAGAUUAUGACCAUACGGAGAGGGACUUUUUCAAGAAUACAACCAUACCUAAACCACAAAAAUAGAUUGUCAUAUCAUCAUAAAAUUGAAUAACAUAUGAGUCUUUUAGUAACAACAUGAUGCCUGCUGUGUGUAUUCAAUGCCAAGACCGAUACUUUUUGUCCUAUAAUGCACAGUGUAACACCAAUAAGCUUACAAUGCUGGGGAUGAACUGAGCUUAACACUACUACUACUACUACUACUACAACUACUGCUACAGCCAUAUGCAAAGACCAAUAAUCCCUUCCCUAUAAUGCCCAGAAAAACACCACUAACACAAGCCUUGACAUCUAUUGAGGUAUGAACUGAAUUUACACUACUACUACUACUACUACUACUACUACUACUACUAUUACUACUAUUAUUACUACUACUACAGCCAUAUGCAAAGAAAGAUAUUCCCUUUCCUAUAAUACCCAGAAAACUACCACUAACACAAGCCUCGGAUUGACCCCAACAGCUUCACGAUACAAAGUUAACAUGGUGCGGUCUUCCCUUCGGUCCCUGUAUACAAAAUGGAGACUGGAUGGUUAGAAUCAGUACUUCCAGGGUUGUUCUUGCUUGGCGUUUCAUCUCUUGGGUCCUGUGAGUGAGUUAUUGUGCGUUAUUUUGAUCCCUGUGAGAGAGAAAUGUGAGACUGGAUAGUAUUAUAGUCCAACCAAAUUGUCGAGUCUGUUUGGGCGUAUUUUUUUCCUAUCAUAUGUUACCUUUACCUUACAUAUGAGAGGAAGAGAUAGGUGUUGGGACUGUGUGGCAGAGCAGAGGGGAGAAAUGGACCCGAGGGAGCCUCCGCCCAAACGGACUCGACAAUUUAGUUGGACUAUUAGUAUAUUCCUGCUGGGGGUUUUUUGUUGGUGUUUUUGCGAAGUUGUUUUGGGUUUGGUCUUCUUACGGUCACGUUUGGGGGCUAGUUCCUUCAUAUUCCGUAACAAAACAUCACGGAAAAACAUCUCCUUUGACCUGAUAAUCUAAAUUCCUGCAUAUUCCGUAACAAAACAUUGCGGAAAAACAUCUCCUUUGACCUGAUAAUCUAAAUUCCUGCAUAUUCUGUAACAAAACAUCGCGGAAAAACAUCUCCUUUGACCUGAUAAUCUAAAUUCCUGCAUAUUCUGUAACAAAACAUCGCGGAAAAACAUCUCCUUUGACCUGAUAAUCUAAAUUCCUGCAUAUUCUGUAACAAAACAUCGCGGAAAAACAUCUCCUUUGACCUGAUAAUCUAAAUUCCUGCAUAUUCUGUAACAAAACAUCGCGGAAAAACAUCUCCUUUGACCUGAUAAUCUUAAUUCCUGCAUAUUCCAUAACAAAACAUCUUCUUUAACCUGAUAGUCUUAAUUCCUGCAUAUUCCAUAACAAAACAUCGCGGAAAAACAUCUCCUUUGACCUGAUAAUCUUAAUUCCUGCAUAUUCCGUAACAAAACAUCUUCUUUAACCCGAUAAUCUACGUUCAAAUAGUAUCUCGGAUUUGGAAGAGUCUGCCCACCCUUCCACACCACACAUCACCUUGUUCCUGCAUAUUCCAUAACAAAACAUCGCGGAAAAACAUCUUCUUUAACCCGAUAAUCUACGUUCAAAUAGUAUCUCGGAUUUGGAAGAGUCUGCCCGCCCUUCCACACCACACAUCACCUUCUGGUCCCUGCAUAUUCAAUAACAAAACAUCGCGGAAAACAUCUUCUUUAACCUGAUUAUCUACGUUCGAAUGGUACCUAAUAUUUGGAAGAGUCUGCCCGCCCUUCCACACCACACAUGAUCUUGUAGCUCCUGCACAUUCUCCUGAAACAAAAGGUCACAAAACAACAUCUUCCUUGACCUGAGAAUCCACGUUUGAGUGUUACCUGUGACCUCCAACACCUGUGAGGGAUCGAAAUGCAUUGGUUAAAGACUUCAGGUAUACAUUUCAGAGUUUUAUUCAUAACUUAACCCUAUUCAUUAAAGCGUACGGUUAUAGAUUCACCAAGUUUGCUUUAUGUCCGAUCUGCUUGGGAGGCGAGAAUGAACCCAGUCAGUUAGUCAGUCCUUUUUCUUUCCCUUCCUCUGCGACCUUUUCAGUCAAUCUUUCCCUUCCUUUGCGACCUUUUCAGUCAAUCUUUCCCUGCCUUUGCGACCUUUUCAGUCAAUCUUUCCCUUCCUUUGCGACCUUUUCAGUCAAUCUUUCCCUGCCUUUGCGACCUUUUCAGUCAAUUUUAAGCAGUCAUUCCUUUUUCCUUCCCUCCCCUUCCUCUCCCUUUCCUUUCCUUUACCUAACUUUGCGCCCUGGAUUAACCGUACCUUUCAUAUUCAAGUCCUAGAUUAACCGUACCUUCCUUUCCCGUCCCCUACGUUUUCUCCCUCAUACACCCGACGUACAUGAAUUUGCGCCCUGGAUUAACCGUACCUUCCAACCGUACCAAGUUCCCCUCACACACACACACACAUGCAUCCUGGGUUAACAUACUUCCACUGGUUGUAUAUCUUAUUAUAAUGCUGAGUGGAAUGGACACAGGCUGGCAGGUGCUUAACAGACCUUAUGCGCUACAGUAACACUUGACGGCUAUGCUCUAGAAAGGGAGGAGGCAGCGGCAAGGCACAACACUGAACUUAUAUGUAUAGUGGUCGCUGUACACUAGGCUGGGAGGAGGGAGAGAGAGAGGGGAGGAAAGGAG
Eriocheir sinensis (Chinese mitten crab) is the source of this 3855-nucleotide long non-coding RNA. RefSeq lists it as uncharacterized. Lineage: Eukaryota; Metazoa; Arthropoda; Malacostraca; Decapoda; Varunidae. The transcript has 2 exons. The record is from RefSeq and is a predicted model, not a curated record.